RNAcentral lists this ribosomal RNA (227 nucleotides) under uncultured bacterium. RNAcentral describes it as "partial 16S ribosomal RNA". It matches the Rfam family "Bacterial small subunit ribosomal RNA", at positions 524 to 748 of the family's 1533-position model. The record is from RNAcentral.
UACGGAGGGAGCUAGCGUUAUUCGGAAUUACUGGGCGUAAAGCGCACGUAGGCGGCUUUUGUAAGUUAGAGGUGAAAAGCCUGGAGCUCAACUCCAGAACUGCCUUUUAAGACUGCAUCGCUUGAAUCCAGGAGAGGUGAGUGGAAUUCCGAGUGUAGAGGUGAAAUUCGUAGAUAUUGGAAGAACACCAGUGGCGAAGGCGGCUCACUGGACUGGUAUUGACGCUG